GAUGAACGCUGGCGGCGUGCUUAACACAUGCAAGUCGAGCGAGAAGUUUUGAAAAGAUUCUUCGGAUGCAAUUUAAAAUGGAAAGCGGCGGACGGGUGAGUAACGCGUAGGCAACCUGCCCCAUACAAAGGGAUAGCAUUUGGAAACGAAUAUUAAUACCUUAUGAAACUUAACUAGUGCAUGCUAGGUAGGUCAAAGAUUUAUCGGUAUGGGAUGGGCCUGCGUCUGAUUAGCUAGUUGGUGAGGUAACGGCUCACCAAGGCGACGAUCAGUAGCCGACCUGGGAGGGUGAACGGCCACAUUGGAACUGAGACACGGUCCAAACUCCUACGGGAGGCAGCAGUGGGGAAUAUUGCACAAUGGGGGAAACCCUGAUGCAGCAACGCCGCGUGAACGAUGAAGGCCUUUGGGUCGUAAAGUUCUGUUCUAGGUGAUGAAAACUGACAGUAACCUAGGAGAAAGCCCCGGCUAACUCCGUG
RNAcentral lists this ribosomal RNA (479 nucleotides) under uncultured bacterium. Its description in RNAcentral is "partial 16S ribosomal RNA". It matches the Rfam family "Bacterial small subunit ribosomal RNA", at positions 28 to 507 of the family's 1533-position model. The record is from RNAcentral.